Molecule: long non-coding RNA, 849 nt
Organism: Mytilus californianus (California mussel)
Lineage: Eukaryota; Metazoa; Mollusca; Bivalvia; Mytilida; Mytilidae
Exons: 3
Source: RefSeq, a predicted model, not a curated record
UAUGCCAAAUGCGAUAGGCUUUACAUGCCAGUGUAUACGUACUAACGAAACUAUGAGCGGCGACCCUAUUACUGAAGCCAUUAUCAAGAAUUUGGUGUACAUAAAAAAAAAUAUAACAAACAUCGAGAAUAUUGUUGACGUGUUGAUUACAAAGGAAAUUAUCGGAUUUCACGAUAGACCCAAUUUUGUUUUUCAUGGAAUACCACACAGUGAAAGAAUCCAGGAGGUGAUCAAUGAAGUGCUAAAGAAAGGGGCAUCCGAUGAAUUUAUUACCGCAUUAAUGGACUCCGGCAAUGCACAUGUUGCUGAACAGAUUCUCAGUUUAGACGAAAAAGGUUUUGCGACCUAUACCCAAGGCACAAGGGUACCAAGUAAUGGGACAAGACCGAAAGACAGACUAAUACAAGCUUAUAGAGAUAUAGCAACACUACAAAGAGAAAAAAAAUGAGAUCUUAAAUGAGAUAAAGUCCUUGCAAACGGAUCAUCAGGAUCAAGUAGCAGAUCUCCAUGAACAGAUACUAGAAUUGCAAAGAAAAAUGAAGGAAAAGGAUAAAACAAUAAAUGCACAAAAUGAGUACCUACGGAAGUUGAAAGAAAUGCAGGAAAAAAAGUCUACAAGACACGAAGAGCAAAUGGACGAUAUAAAGCAGACAUUGGCAAAAGUAGUUAACAUUUGUGAAACAACUAAGGAAAAGGUUAUCGAAACUCAGAAAAAGGUCACAUUACUUGAAGACCAGAUGAAAAAACCACGAGUUCGAGCAAAUAUUACCUCUACGAUGAGAGAAGAACGAAAUAAAGCCAAUAAAACCAAAGAUUAAUAUUUUGAAUAACAUCUUGUGAAAAUAUUUG